AUUGAACGCUGGCGGCAGGCCUAACACAUGCAAGUCGAACGGUAACAGGAAGAAGCUUGCUUCUUUGCUGACGAGUGGCGGACGGGUGAGUAAUGUCUGGGAAACUGCCUGAUGGAGGGGGAUAACUACUGGAAACGGUAGCUAAUACCGCAUAACGUCGCAAGACCAAAGAGGGGGACCUUCGGGCCUCUUGCCAUCGGAUGUGCCCAGAUGGGAUUAGCUAGUAGGUGGGGUAACGGCUCACCUAGGCGACGAUCCCUAGCUGUUCUGAGAGGAUGACCAGCCACACUGGAACUGAGACACGGUCCAGACUCCUACGGGAGGCAGCAGUGGGGAAUAUUGCACAAUGGGCGCAAGCCUGAUGCAGCCAUGCCGCGUGUAUGAAGAAGGCCUUCGGGUUGUAAAGUACUUUCAGCGGGGAGGAAGGGAGUAAAGUUAAUACCUUUGCUCAUUGACGUUACCCGCAGAAGAAGCACCGGCUAACUCCGUG
RNAcentral lists this ribosomal RNA (490 nucleotides) under uncultured bacterium. Its description in RNAcentral is "partial 16S ribosomal RNA". It matches the Rfam family "Bacterial small subunit ribosomal RNA", at positions 30 to 507 of the family's 1533-position model. The record is from RNAcentral.